Molecule: long non-coding RNA, 342 nt
Filed under: Gossypium barbadense (sea-island cotton)
Lineage: Eukaryota; Viridiplantae; Streptophyta; Magnoliopsida; Malvales; Malvaceae
Description: long non-coding RNA (GBAR_LNC021444)
Source: RNAcentral
AUACAAGCAGUCUCAACUGUGCGUACUUGCAACGUCUUCAAUGCUCAGUUUUAGGGUUUUGGUAAUAAGUGUUGUUCGAAAGGUGGUUAAAGCUAGUCCUUGUAUAUUUUCAUCAUUUUCAACAUAUAAAUGAGUGCCACAACAUCCUUGAAUUCAGAGUACAACAAGAUGGAGUUUAGACUGAAAACCUCCAAUGUAUAGGAAUUUCAUUUUAUUAAAUGUAAGGAAUAAUAGCUGUUGAGUAAAAGAUGCUGAGAACGACAAGUUACAGCCAUGGAUGGAUUGUAUUUCUUCUUAUUUAAAUAAACAGCAAGAAAGCUCAUUGAAUUUCAGAAUCAACAU